Long non-coding RNA from Cyprinus carpio carpio, 1389 nucleotides. Lineage: Eukaryota; Metazoa; Chordata; Actinopteri; Cypriniformes; Cyprinidae. The record is from Ensembl.
GGGGUCUGAAGUUAUGUCUGUUUCUAGUUAAGCAUUGCAAACCCAGAGGAGCGUUGCGUGAGUUUGAAAGCAGCCAACAACAUAUGGAAGCAGUCCUCUACAGGAUCCAUGAGUAGAAACUUUGUGUUUUACUUGACACUACUGACACUGCAAUGGACUAAAUGUUGGAGGCAUGACAGGAUAUCGGACCUUAAAGCAAGAUGAAUUAUGCUGAGGACCAGCUAUGGUGCCUGCUGCACGGUGGUCGGCCUUUGGAGAAGUAUGUGGAGGAAUUCAUCAAGCUCUCCUAUCUGGUGAGCUGGCCUGAUGCCUCACUAUGUGCCUGUUUUCAGUUGGGACUGGACGAGAAUACCAUCUGUUUUAGUUCUCUCGUAUGUGAUUUCUCUUUGGUCUAGUAAAUAAAUCUUAUCCUGUAUUUAAACGGCUCUAACUUUGAGGUAGAGGAAAUUAGACAAGAUAAGAGCCGUUCUAGUCCAGACUCUUCUGUGAACCUCUGGUCCUCGCCAGCUUACCCCAGGCCGGUAUCAUCCACAUGCCUGGCCAAUGGCUCUGACCACCCCUAUCCUCCUGUGUUUCCCCGAGGCUCUCCCAGAACCAUUCCAGUCCUGAGCCUAGAACCAGCGGCUGCUCCACUCUCAAGCCCACCAACCGCUCCACUCGCAAACCUGCCGGCCGCUCCACUUUCCAGACCUAUGAUAAUAUCAGCCUUUUCUUCAACCUCAGCCCAAAAGAGGAGGAUGAGGAAAAGGCGGUUUUCAGUCCCGAUGCUCACUCCAAAGUUCGCCCCAGAAUGUUCGGCAGAGCUCAACCAGAAGCCCAGCCCUCCUUUGUCUCUGCUGGUCCCGUUCAGCUCACCUUCAUCUCCGCUGGUCCCGCCAGCUUUCCUUAAUCUCCUUCAUCUCCUUCGCCUCAGCUGGUCUUGUCCAGCCAUCCUUCAUCUCAUGAGCCUCCUGCGUUAGCCAGCUCCGCUCCUCCAGAGCACCCUCCAGUGCCCAAUCCUCCAGAAUCCCUCUGGGCAUGGAAAUGCCUAGUUUUCCCCAAGAAAAUAUCCUUUAUAUAUCUGUUGCCAUAGUGGCCAAGGCAGGGAACCUGGACAAGGCCACGAAGGCUACUCCAUGGCCUUCUGAACUCCCUGAUCUGCCCUGGAGGCCUUCCUUGUCUCCGCCCUUUUCCUACCCUGCACCAGCCUACAGGAUGCCCGCUCCCCACUCUCCGUUGGAACUGUUAUGGCGCAGGACACGCCUUCUGGGAGGGGGGUGAUAUUUCACGUUUGAGUUCCUGUUCUGUUUAGUUCAUCUCGUUUAGUUCAUUUGUCUCAUUAGUUAACCUUCCUCACCUGUGCUACCCUCAUCAAGUCACCUAUAUAAGGUCUAUCCUUUGUUCAGUUUG